Molecule: ribosomal RNA, 874 nt
Filed under: uncultured bacterium
Lineage: Bacteria
Description: bacterial SSU rRNA
Rfam family: Bacterial small subunit ribosomal RNA
Source: RNAcentral
AAUCAACGCUGGCGGCGUGCCUAACACAUGCAAGUCGAACGAGAAAGCGGAGCAAUCCAUGAGUAAGGUGGCGACCGGGUGAGUAACACGUGACUAACCUACCUCCGAGUGGGGAAUAACUCCGGGAAACCGGGGCUAAUACCGCAUAACAGCGCAAGAUCAAAGCAGCAAUGCGCUUGGAGAGGGGGUCGCGGCUGAUUAGCUAGUUGGCGGGGUAACGGCCCACCAAGGCGAAGAUCGGUAUCCGGCCUGAGAGGGCACACGGACACACUGGAACUGAAACACGGUCCAGACUCCUACGGGAGGCAGCAGUGGGGAAUUUUGCGCAAUGGGGGAAACCCUGACGCAGCAACGCCGCGUGGAGGAUGAAGCCCUUUGGGGCGUAAACUCCUUUCGACCAAGACGAUAAUGACGGUACUGGUGGAAGAAGCACCGGCUAACUCUGUGCCAGCAGCCGCGGUAAUACAGAGGGUGCGAGCGUUGUUCGGAAUUAUUGGGCGUAAAGGGCGCGUAGGCGGUGCCACAAGUCACUUGUGAAAUCCCCGGGCUUAACUCGGGGCCUGCAGGCGAAACUGUGGUGCUGGAGUAUGGAGAGGUGCGUGGAAUUCCCGGUGUAGCGGUGAAAUGCGUAGAUAUCGGGAGGAACACCUGUGGCGAAAGCGGCGCACUGGACCAUAACUGACGCUGAUGCGCGAAAGCUAGGGGAGCAAACAGGAUUAGAUACCCUGGUAGUCCUAGCCCUAAACGAUGAUUGCUGGGUGUAGCAGGUACCCAAUCCUGCUGUGCCGCAGCUAACGCGAUAAGCAAUCCGCCUGGGGGAGUACGGUCGCAAGGCUGAACUCAAGGAAUUGACGGGGGGCCGCACAAGCGGUGG